UACGUAGGCAGCAAGCGUUGUUCGGAAUUACUGGGCGUAAAGAGUGUGUAGGCGGUGCUGUAAGUCUGGUGUGAAAUCUCCCGGCUCAACUGGGAGGGUGCGCCGGAAACUGCAGUGCUUGAGGGUGGGAGAGGUAAGCGGAAUUCCUGGUGUAGCGGUGAAAUGCGUAGAUAUCAGGAGGAACACCUGUGGUGUAGACAGCUUACUGGACCACUUCUGGCGCUGAGACACGAAAGCGUGGGUAGCAAACAGG
Molecule: ribosomal RNA, 253 nt
Filed under: uncultured bacterium
Lineage: Bacteria
Description: partial 16S ribosomal RNA
Rfam family: Bacterial small subunit ribosomal RNA
Source: RNAcentral